This 296-nucleotide ribosomal RNA is filed under the name Salmonella enterica. Its description in RNAcentral is "partial 16S ribosomal RNA". It matches the Rfam family "Bacterial small subunit ribosomal RNA", at positions 1 to 293 of the family's 1533-position model. The record is from RNAcentral. Lineage: Bacteria; Pseudomonadati; Pseudomonadota; Gammaproteobacteria; Enterobacterales; Enterobacteriaceae. RNAcentral also lists the same sequence under 1 other name.
AAAUUGAAGAGUUUGAUCAUGGCUCAGAUUGAACGCUGGCGGCAGGCCUAACACAUGCAAGUCGAACGGUAACAGGAAGCAGCUUGCUGCUUUGCUGACGAGUGGCGGACGGGUGAGUAAUGUCUGGGAAACUGCCUGAUGGAGGGGGAUAACUACUGGAAACGGUGGCUAAUACCGCAUAACGUCGCAAGACCAAAGAGGGGGACCUUCGGGCCUCUUGCCAUCAGAUGUGCCCAGAUGGGAUUAGCUAGUUGGUGAGGUAACGGCUCACCAAGGCGACGAUCCCUAGCUGGUCU